RNAcentral lists this ribosomal RNA (253 nucleotides) under uncultured bacterium. Its description in RNAcentral is "partial 16S ribosomal RNA". It matches the Rfam family "Bacterial small subunit ribosomal RNA", at positions 524 to 776 of the family's 1533-position model. The record is from RNAcentral.
UACGUAGGGGGCAAGCGUUGUCCGGAUUUAUUGGGCGUAAAGAGCGUGUAGGCGGCCAGACAGGUCCGUUGUGAAAACUCGAGGCUCAACCUCGAGACGCCGAUGGAAACCGUCUGGCUAGAGUCCGGAAGAGGAGAAUGGAAUUCCCGGUGUAGCGGUGAAAUGCGCAGAUAUCGGGAAGAACACCCGUGGCGAAGGCGGUUCUCUGGGACGGUACUGACGCUGAGACGCGAAAGCGUGGGGAGCGAACAGG